GUGUGCUUAGUAGCGGACGGGUGAGUAACGCGUGAGUAACCUGCCUUUGUGAGGGGGACAACAGCCGAAACGGCUGUAAUACCGCAUGAGACCACGGCUCUGAGUGGAGCCGAGGAAAAGAUUUAUCGCACAAAGAUGGACUCGCGUCCCAUAAGCUAGUUGGUGAGGUAACGGCCCACCAAGGCGACGAUGGGUAGCCGACCUGAGAGGGUGAUCGGCCACACUGGAACUGAGACACGGUCCAGACUCCUACGGGAGGCAGCAGUGGGGAAUAUUGGGCAAUGGGCGCAAGCCUGACCCAGCAACGCCGCGUGAGGGAAGAAGGUCUUCGGAUUGUAAACCUCUGUCCUUGGGGACGAAAAAAAUGACGGUACCCAAGGAGGAAGCUCCGGCUAACUACGUGCCAGCAGCCGCGGUAAUACGUAGGGAGCGAGCGUUGUCCGGAAUUACUGGGCGUAAAGGGUGCGUAGGCGGCGAUGCAAGUCAGAUGUGAAAUCCCCGGGCUCAACUCGGAGACUGCUCCUGAAACUGGUAAACUUGAGUGCAGGAGAGGGAAGUGGAAUUCCUAGUGUAGCGGUGAAAUGCGUAGAUAUUAGGAGGAACACCAGUGGCGAAGGCGACUUCCUGGCCUGUAACUGACACUGAGGCGCGAAAGCGUGGGGAUCAAACAGGAUUAGAUACCCUGGUAGUCCACGCCGUAAACGAUGAGUGCUAGGUGUCGGGGGUAUCGACCCCCUCGGUGCCACAGCUAACGCAAUAAGCACUCCGCCUGGGGAGUACGGUCGCAAGACUGAAACUCAAAGGAAUUGACGGGGGCCCGCACAAGCGGUGGAGCAUGUGGUUCAAUUCGACGCAACGCGAAGAACCUUACCUGGGCUCGAACGGCUCACGCCGGCUCUGGGAACAGAGCUUUCCCGCAAGGGACGGGAGUCGAGGUGCUGCAUGGCUGUCGUCAGCUCGUGUCGUGAGAUGUUGGGUUAAGUCCCGCAACGAGCGCAACCCUUGUCCUGUGUUGCCAUGCCGAAAGGCGGAACUCGCAGGAGACCGCCAGCGAUAAGCUGGAGGAAGGUGGGGAUGACGUCAAGUCCUCAUGGCCUUUAUGUCCAGGGCUACACACGUGCUACAAUGGCCGGUACAAAGCGUCGCCAAGUCGCGAGACGGAGCCAAUCGCAAAAAACCGGUCUCAGUUCGGAUUGCAGGCUGCAACUCGCCUGCAUGAAGCUGGAAUCGCUAGUAAUGGCAGA
RNAcentral lists this ribosomal RNA (1244 nucleotides) under uncultured bacterium. RNAcentral's name for it is "partial 16S ribosomal RNA". It matches the Rfam family "Bacterial small subunit ribosomal RNA", at positions 86 to 1348 of the family's 1533-position model. The record is from RNAcentral.